This 408-nucleotide ribosomal RNA is filed under the name uncultured bacterium. Its description in RNAcentral is "partial 16S ribosomal RNA". It matches the Rfam family "Bacterial small subunit ribosomal RNA", at positions 28 to 526 of the family's 1533-position model. The record is from RNAcentral.
GACGAACGCUGGCGGCGUGCUUAACACAUGCAAGUCGAACGAAGUGGCGAACGGGUGAGUAACGCGUAAUCAACCUGCCCUUCAGAGGGGGACAACAGUUGGAAACGACUGCUAAUAUCGCAUACCGUAGGAGGGGAUUGCGUCUGCUUAGCUAGGUGGAGGGGUAACGGCCCACCAAGGCGCUGAGCAGUAGCCGGUAUGAGAGGAUGAACAGCCAAAUGGGCACGGAGACACGGCCCAGACGCCUACGGGAGGCAGAAGUGGGGAAUCUUACGCAAUAGACGAAAGUCUGACGGAGCAACGCCGCGUGAGUGAUGACGGCCUUCGGGUUGUAAAGCUCUGUUAAUCGGGACGCGGUACCGGAAUAGAAAGCCACGGCUAACUACGUGCCAGCAGCCGCGGUAAUAC